RNAcentral lists this ribosomal RNA (591 nucleotides) under uncultured fungus. RNAcentral's name for it is "eukaryotic LSU rRNA". It matches the Rfam family "Eukaryotic large subunit ribosomal RNA", at positions 37 to 654 of the family's 3401-position model. The record is from RNAcentral. Lineage: Eukaryota; Fungi.
AGCAUAUCAAUAAGCGGAGGAAAAGAAACCAACAGGGAUUGCCCCAGUAACGGCGAGUGAAGCGGCAACAGCUCAAAUUUGAAAUCUGGCCUCGGCCCGAGUUGUAAUUUGUAGAGGAAGCUUUUGGCGAGGCACCGCCUGAGUCCCCUGGAACGGGGCGCCAUAGAGGGUGAGAGCCCCGUAUAGGUGGAUGCCGAGCCUCUGUAAAGCUCCUUCGACGAGUCGAGUAGUUUGGGAAUGCUGCUCAAAAUGGGAGGUAAAUUUCUUCUAAAGCUAAAUAUUGGCCAGAGACCGAUAGCGCACAAGUAGAGUGAUCGAAAGAUGAAAAGCACUUUGAAAAGAGGGUUAAACAGCACGUGAAAUUGUUGAAAGGGAAGCGCUCGUGACCAGACUUGCGCCGGGCGGAUCAUCCGGUGUUCUCACCUGUGCACUCCGCCCGGCUCAGGCCAGCAUCGGUUCUCGCGGGGGGACAAAGGCCUGGGGAACGUAGCUCCUCCGGGAGUGUUAUAGCCCCGGGCUCAAUGCCCUCGCGGGGACCGAGGUUCGCGCAUCUGCAAGGAUGCUGGCGUAAUGGUCACCAGCGACCCGUCU